AACGGCUUUCCAGCAAUCAGAUGACUGAAAGCAGUGUUUAAAAAGCAAGGAUUAAAACUGGAGAAUGCUGUCUGUUCUGCUGUCAAAGUAGGUCCAUAACCCUGUUUUUGCUUGUGUUGCUCAGGGAUUGUGCAAUGCAUUUCAAAUAAACAAACAAACAAAACAGGAAAGGAAACGAGUUCACUUUGGCAGGAUAAUAAAUACCACGAACAGGGAAGUUGCUUGGCACCUCUACCCUAGAAGCAUUCUACAAGUUACACGGGCACUGCAAGGGAAAGCUGCAAAAGAUUGUUUAACCUAGAGGAUUACAGAGGAUUGCCUGACUGUUCUCUGUUUGGCAAUCGGAAUGCUGAAUACCCUCCUGUGAUCAGCAAACCUUUCAUCCACCAAGCAUUUGCCAUUGCUGCUGACAAACAAAGACUAAACUGCAGAGAAGGGAGCCUUUGACAAGGUCCAGGAAACAAUAGCAUAUUCGGUCUUGUGUAGUUUGUGCUGGAACAUUUCUUUUUUUUUUCAAACCAUUUCCGUCGUGGCUUUCCGGACAGUGAGGACAUUUAAUGUACUUGAAGUCAAAGUCGUUGCCAAACCUGCUUAUUAGCUGAGUCUGCACACUGCGCAAAGCUGCUGCUGAUGCUGGUGUAGUCAGCUUCAGGUGCAUGAGGAAACAUGUUGCUCUAGGACAGCUGGAACAACUCUGUCUAAAUAAACUGAUAUUCUUCCCACACACAACUCUUGUAGAAAGGGACUUGGAAGAGUGUGACAGUGGUAAAAGUUAUUCCUUCCUCCUUUCCCCCACCAUCUCUGAUGGACAAUGUGGUUUGUCCUAAGACUGGAACAGCAAAAGGGAAUUGCAGGAGGGACUGCCUGUGCACUCUCAUAAUUAAUGCAUUCCAGAGAUGGGGGAGCAGAGAUGUUUGGUUUUGGUGCACAUCUGCCUGCAAAAGUGCAUAAAAUGCUGCUGGAGACUGGAACAGCUGGACUCAUGAAGUUGCAGGCAGCUUCUGAGUGGAACACACGCAACCCCCACACUCCCUGCAGGAAUGCCUGCAGGCUACAUUAACUGUAGUAAUGUUAGUAACUGUAGUAAUGUAGAAAGUCUGGGGAACACUCACUUCUGGACAGAACAGAGAUAAAACCUCAUCAAGUGUCUCUAUAGGAGCUUUGUUCCUUUGUUAUUGUGCAUUCCACAAGGCCAAAGACUGUAAACCUGUGUUUCCAGCUGAACCUGCUGGUACAAGAACCCUUCAGACACAGGCUGUCAAGGAAAUCUGAGACUUGCUGGACCAAGCCACACCUGCUCUGAGGUAGAAUAAUUAUGGAGUUGCCUUCAUAAGUUUUGGAUUUCUAACUACCAUUGUUGGCAACAAUAAACUAUACUUCUCUGACAUCUUUCAGGAGAACAAUUCCACUGUUCAGGCUGAACAGUAGAACUCACCAUGUCGCAGACAUCUUUUAUGAAAAAUCCUUUCCUUAGGAUUCUUCCUCUUGAGAGGCCGAGA
This is a long non-coding RNA of Zonotrichia albicollis (white-throated sparrow), 1499 nucleotides long. RefSeq lists it as uncharacterized. The record is from RefSeq and is a predicted model, not a curated record. NCBI's taxonomy places the organism in Eukaryota, Metazoa, Chordata, Aves, Passeriformes, Passerellidae.